RNAcentral lists this ribosomal RNA (277 nucleotides) under uncultured bacterium. Its description in RNAcentral is "partial 16S ribosomal RNA". It matches the Rfam family "Bacterial small subunit ribosomal RNA", at positions 28 to 295 of the family's 1533-position model. The record is from RNAcentral.
GAUAAACGCUGGCGGCGUGCCUAACACAUGCAAGUCGAACGUCCUCUUUUGCUUCGGCGGGAGAGGGAGUGGCGGACGGGUGAGUAACACAUGGGUACCUGCCUUUCAGUGAGGAAUACCGGCGAGAAAUCGCCGACAAGACCGCAUGCGCUUGUCGUUCGAGAGAGCGACAAGGAAAGUUCUUUCGCGAGAAGGGACGCUGGAAGAGGGGCCUGUGGCCGAUUAGCUAGUUGGGGGGGUAAAGGCCUCCCAAGGCGACGAUCGGUAGCUGGUCUGA